RNAcentral lists this ribosomal RNA (474 nucleotides) under uncultured organism. RNAcentral's name for it is "partial 16S ribosomal RNA". It matches the Rfam family "Bacterial small subunit ribosomal RNA", at positions 331 to 797 of the family's 1533-position model. The record is from RNAcentral.
GUACACUCCUACGGGAGGCAGCAGUGGGGAAUUUUGGACAAUGGGCGAAAGCCUGAUCCAGCCAUGCCGCGUGCAGGAUGAAGGCCUUCGGGUUGUAAACUGCUUUUGUACGGAACGAAACGGCCUUUUCUAAUAAAGAGGGCUAAUGACGGUACCGUAAGAAUAAGCACCGGCUAACUACGUGCCAGCAGCCGCGGUAAUACGUAGGGUGCAAGCGUUAAUCGGAAUUACUGGGCGUAAAGCGUGCGCAGGCGGUUAUGUAAGACAGUUGUGAAAUCCCCGGGCUCAACCUGGGAACUGCAUCUGUGACUGCAUAGCUAGAGUACGGUAGAGGGGGAUGGAAUUCCGCGUGUAGCAGUGAAAUGCGUAGAUAUGCGGAGGAACACCGAUGGCGAAGGCAAUCCCCUGGACCUGUACUGACGCUCAUGCACGAAAGCGUGGGGAGCAAACAGGAUUAGAAACCCUUGUAGUCCC